RNAcentral lists this small RNA (156 nucleotides) under Devosia crocina. RNAcentral's name for it is "caulobacter sRNA CC2171". Lineage: Bacteria; Pseudomonadati; Pseudomonadota; Alphaproteobacteria; Hyphomicrobiales; Devosiaceae. The record is from RNAcentral.
AACCAACGUGAAGGAGGUGAUCCAGUGUCUUAUGAGCUUUUGGUUCUCGAGGAUCUGGGAAUGUCGGUGAUGUCUGGGAGUGAUCUUCGAUAGCAUCGCCUCCUGCAGGCCUCGAGGCCUGUAACUCAGGGAAGGGCUGCUCCGCGGGGCAGCCCU